Molecule: ribosomal RNA, 906 nt
Filed under: uncultured bacterium
Lineage: Bacteria
Description: bacterial SSU rRNA
Rfam family: Bacterial small subunit ribosomal RNA
Source: RNAcentral
GAAUUACUGGGCGUAGAGGGUCUGUAGGUGGUUUGUUAAGUCAGAUGUGAAAGCCCAGGGCUCAACCUUGGAACUGCAUUUGAUACUGGCAAACUAGAGUAUGGUAGAGGAAUGGGGAAUUUCUGGUGUAGCGGUGAAAUGCGUAGAGAUCAGAAGGAACACCAAUGGCGAAGGCAACAUUCUGGACCAAUACUGACACUGAGGGACGAAAGCGUGGGGAUCAAACAGGAUUAGAUACCCUGGUAGUCCACGCUGUAAACGAUGAGUACUAGCUGUUGGAUUCGGUGUAAAGGAUCUAGUGGCGUAGCUAACGCGUUAAGUACUCCGCCUGGGGACUACGGCCGCAAGGCUAAAACUCAAAGGAAUUGACGGGGACCCGCACAAGCGGUGGAGCAUGUGGUUUAAUUCGAUGCAACGCGAAGAACCUUACCUGGUCUUGACAUCCUGCGAACUUUCUAGAGAUAGAUUGGUGCCUUCGGGAACGCAGUGACAGGUGCUGCACGGCUGUCGUCAGCUCGUGUUGUGAAAUGUUGGGUUAAGUCCCGCAACGAGCGCAACCCCUAUUGAUAGUUACCAUCAUUAAGUUGGGUACUCUAUUGAGACUGCCGCUGACAAGGCGGAGGAAGGUGGGGACGACGUCAAGUCAUCAUGGCCCUUACGACCAGGGCUACACACGUGCUACAAUGGGUAUUACAGAGGGCAGCGAAGUAGCGAUAUGGAGCGAAACUCAGAAAGGUACUCUUAGUCCGGAUUGCAGUCUGCAACUCGACUGCAUGAAGUCGGAAUCGCUAGUAAUCGCAGGUCAGAAUACUGCGGUGAAUACGUUCCCGGGUCUUGUACACACCGCCCGUCACACCAUGGGAGUGGGUUGCUCCGAGAAGUAGAUAGCUUAACGAACUGGGCGUU